UGGGCCCAAGGUCAUUCUACCAACGACCUUGUCGAGAUUGGGACCUCAGUUCAGCACUAUCGAGAGCUCGGAGAGAUCAUUGAGAGUUGGGGAGUCUUCUGCGUCGACGGAGGCCUGGUGUGCACGAAAAGUACCUUGGCCCAGGUGAGCGCGGUAUCGAUGAGGCAAGGUCGGUGGUGAUUCACUUGUGGUUGUUAGAGGUGAGGUAGGAAAGGGGAG
Molecule: long non-coding RNA, 219 nt
Filed under: Elaeis guineensis (African oil palm)
Lineage: Eukaryota; Viridiplantae; Streptophyta; Magnoliopsida; Arecales; Arecaceae
Description: long non-coding RNA (EGUI_LNC034525)
Source: RNAcentral